ACAUUUUCCUGUUCUAAGCAAAAGAGGCAAUGAGCAUCCUCUACUCUUCUUCUUUUAGCUAAGUUAUCCCUUGUCAAGAGUUUAUUUUUGGAAAUCAACCAUAGAAACACAUGUACUCUAGGAGGGAUCCAAAUUUUCCAAACAGAUGGAGUGUAGGUGGGAACCACACCCCUGAAAUUAAUCACCUUGUAGAGUGAUUGAGAGGAGUACACUCCUGAGGAGUGGUAUUGCCAGAUUACACUAUCCUCCUCUCUAGUAAAAAACAAUGGUCGAAGCUAACUGAAUAACCUCCUCCCACUGUCUCAGUAAUCUAUCAUCCACACAUCUUCUAAAAGUGCACUACUUUAGGUUAUGCCCAUCCCAAAUAUCUGCAAUGGUUGCAGUUUGCUCAUUGAUGAUCACAUAGAUAUCCCAGAAAAUCACCGAUAAGCUUGCAGUUCCUAUCCAAUUGUCCUCCCAAAACCUAGCUUUUUUCCCAUCACCUACCUGCCACUUAAAACCCAUUUUGGCCACCUGAGCAGCCUAGUUCAAAAUUACUUUACACUUACACUUACACAAUAUGGCAGAUUACAUUCUCUAUCAGGUAUUUUGUAGCCAUCUCCAAUGUGUUCGUCAGACCCUGUUUCGUCUUAUAAUAAAGAAAGGCAAAAAAAACAUCCUAAGAAGAUUGCUCUAGCCUGAAUGAAUAAGUGAAUAAGUCUAGGAAAUUACCAUGCGCUCGCUAUUAGCAUCAUCCUCAAUUUCC
RNAcentral lists this long non-coding RNA (745 nucleotides) under Setaria viridis. RNAcentral's name for it is "long non-coding RNA (SVIR_LNC007035)". Lineage: Eukaryota; Viridiplantae; Streptophyta; Magnoliopsida; Poales; Poaceae. The record is from RNAcentral.